GGACCCGCACAAGUAGUGGAGCAUGUGGUUUAAUUCGAAGAUACGCGCAGAACCUUACCAACACUUGACAUGUUCGUCGCGACUUUAAGAGAUUAAAGUUUUCGGUUCGGCCGGACGAAACACAGGUGCUGCAUGGCUGUCGUCAGCUCGUGUCGUGAGAUGUUGGGUUAAGUCCCGCAACGAGCGCAACCCUCACUUUUAGUUGCCAUCAUUUAGUUGGGCACUCUGAAAGAACUGCCAGUGAUAAGCUGGAGGAAGGUGGGGAUGACGUCAAGUCCUCAUGGCCCUUACGUGUUGGGCUACACACGUGCUACAAUGGUAUCUACAACAGGAAGCAAAACGGCAACGUUAAGCAAAUCCUAAAAAGAUAUCUCAGUUCGGAUUGCACUCUGCAACUCGAGUGCAUGAAGCUGGAAUUACUAGUAAUCG
This 429-nucleotide ribosomal RNA is filed under the name uncultured bacterium. RNAcentral describes it as "bacterial SSU rRNA". It matches the Rfam family "Bacterial small subunit ribosomal RNA", at positions 917 to 1344 of the family's 1533-position model. The record is from RNAcentral.